GGGGAUGUAACUCAAUGGUAGAGUGUGUGUUUAGCAGUUGGGAGGACCUAGGAUCAAACCCUAGCACCCUCC
Molecule: transfer RNA, 72 nt
Filed under: Heterocephalus glaber (naked mole-rat)
Lineage: Eukaryota; Metazoa; Chordata; Mammalia; Rodentia; Bathyergidae
Rfam family: tRNA
About the family: Transfer RNA (tRNA) molecules are approximately 80 nucleotides in length.
Source: Rfam by way of RNAcentral